Molecule: transfer RNA, 76 nt
Filed under: Candidatus Saccharimonadota bacterium
Lineage: Bacteria; Candidatus Saccharimonadota
Also listed under: 3 other names
Description: tRNA-Pro
Rfam family: tRNA
About the family: Transfer RNA (tRNA) molecules are approximately 80 nucleotides in length.
Source: RNAcentral
CGGGGUGUAGCGCAGCUGGUAGCGCGUACGGCUGGGGGCCGUGAGGUCGCAGGUUCAAGUCCUGUCACCCCGACCA